CGCAGCCGCGGUAAUUCCAGCUCCAAUAGCGUAUAUUAAAGUUGUUGCAGUUAAAAAGCUCGUAGUUGAAUUUUAGAUCUGACCAAACGGUCCACUUUUUGUGAGUACUGUUUUGUGUCGGGUCUAUCCUUCUGGUGAGCUGGUAUGCCCUUUACUGGGUGUGCCAGGGAACCAGGACCAUUACCUUGAAAAAAUUAGAGUGUUUAAAGCGGGCAUAAGCUUGAAUAGAUUAGCAUGGAAUAAUAGAAUAGGACGUUGUGGUUCUAUUUUGUUGGUUUCUAGGACCACCGUAAUGAUUAAUAGGGAUAGUUGGGGGCAUUAGUAUUCAAUUGUCAGAGGUGAAAUUCUUGGAUUUAUUGAAGACUAACUAUUGCGAAAGCAUUUGCCAAGGAUGUUUUCAUUAAUCAAGAACGAAAGUUAGGGGAUCGAAGACGAUCAGAUACCGUCGUAGUCUUAACCAUAA
RNAcentral lists this ribosomal RNA (463 nucleotides) under uncultured Archaeospora. Its description in RNAcentral is "bacterial SSU rRNA". It matches the Rfam family "Eukaryotic small subunit ribosomal RNA", at positions 569 to 1035 of the family's 1831-position model. Lineage: Eukaryota; Fungi; Glomeromycota; Glomeromycetes; Archaeosporales; Archaeosporaceae. The record is from RNAcentral.